This 497-nucleotide ribosomal RNA is filed under the name uncultured bacterium. Its description in RNAcentral is "partial 16S ribosomal RNA". It matches the Rfam family "Bacterial small subunit ribosomal RNA", at positions 28 to 507 of the family's 1533-position model. The record is from RNAcentral.
GAUGAACGCUGGCGGCGUGCCUAAUACAUGCAAGUCGAGCGAACGGACGAGAAGCUUGCUUUUCUGAUGUUAGCGGCGGACGGGUGAGUAACACGUGGAUAACCUACCUAUAAGACUGGGAUAACUUCGGGAAACCGGAGCUAAUACCGGAUAAUAUUUUGAACCGCAUGGUUCAAAAGUGAAAGACGGUCUUGCUGUCACUUAUAGAUGGAUCCGCGCUGCAUUAGCUAGUUGGUAAGGUAACGGCUUACCAUGGCAACGAUGCAUAGCCGACCUGAGAGGGUGAUCGGCCACACUGGAACUGAGACACGGUCCAGACUCCUACGGGAGGCAGCAGUAGGGAAUCUUCCGCAAUGGGCGAAGGCCUGACGGAGCAACGCCGCGUGAGUGAUGAAGGUCUUCGGAUCGUAAAACUCUGUUAUUAGGGAAGAACAUAUGUGUAAGUAACUGUGCACAUCUUGACGGUACCUAAUCAGAAAGCCACGGCUAACUACGUG